ACCUGAUCAAUACCUUAAAGAGCCUAAAGAGCUGUCAGGCCUGGAUUAUUGUUGUUGUUGGUGUUGUGGUUGUCCAGGCCAUGUGGCCCGUGUCACUUUGGAGACAACAAUCAGGGAAUGUGUGUGGAUUCCAUGAGACACCCCACUAAUGAACACCUGCAGGCUGCAAAGGAAAUCACCGAGCACAGAGACAGACAAGUGGAUCUUUAAAGGAGUCCCCAAAGUCAUUAGCAGGCUCGGAGCACCAAAAGAGCCCUUGGAUGGAUGGGUAUGAGGAAAAGCAGCAGAGAGAAGCUUUCCCUCUCUCCACGGAGCUGCUGGUGGUUCAGGGAGGUGCAGAACAGCCCCUCCCAUGGAAUCCACUGCUCCAGCCCGAGCCCUCCCUGUGCCUCAGGCAAGUCCCAUUUCUGCUCCAAAUUCCCUACCGUUCUGACAUUUCAGAAAACUAGAAUUCAUUCAGCUUUUGGAUUCAUGCAGUGAGUUUUGAGUGCUGUGUGUACAAAACACAGCAAGACCCUCUUGCCCGUCACAGUCUGAGUGUGAGGCUGCCCUGCCUGUGAUUUCAACCUGCCCAGAUGUGUCCAGCUGUGUGCAGCUGUUCCUGGGAUGGCCUUUCAGAGAAUCACAGAGCCACAGAAUGGUUUGGGUGGGAAGGGACCUUAAAGACACCCAAUUCCAGCCCUUCCAUGGGCAGGGACACCUCCCACUGUCCCAGCUGCUCCAACUCCACCCAGCCUGGCCUUUGGUGCCAAAUCCUGGGGCACAUUCUCGGGACAGCCUUUAAACACUCUUCUCCAAAGCCCAUCAGCACAAGUUGUCCUGAAAAUGUUACCUGAGUGUUCUGGAAUCUCAGAGUUCCCUCCAGCUCAGCUCUGCCAGGCUGUGCAAGUCAGCCCCUGGAGAGCUUUUGAGUUAUUUUGUGUAAACACUUUCAAUCUCCAGAUCUUGGCAAUUGGUGCUUUAUUUAUUUAAUGUCUCCUCCCUACACCUUGGAACAGCAUUUUGCUUACACAAGUCCCAAAGCAGAAGAGGGAAAAAUCAUUCCAAAGGUGCUGUGUAACAGCUCCUUCCUGUCCAUUUAGGCAAUUUAUAGUGAAACCAGAUAGCUCUGAGUAGACAAAUCCAUUCCCUCAAUAGUUUAUAUCCCAUAAUACUUUCUUCCUCUCAUAAAUUUAACUUACAUAUGAGAAAUCACACCAAUUCUCCAAAAACCCUGUGAAUUUCAUUGGUGGGAGAAGAGUGAUUUAAGCACAACAGGAAAGGAGAAGAGAAGAGGAAGAGAAGAGAAGAGAAGAGAAGAGAAGAGGAAGAGAAGAGAAGAGAAGAGAAGAGAAGAGAAGAGAAGAGAAGAGAAGAGAAGAGAAGAGAAGAGAAGAGAAGAGAAGAGAAGAGAAGAGAAGAGAAGAGAAGAGAAGAGAAGAGAAGAGAAGAGAAGAGAAGAGAAGAGAAGAGAAGAGAAGAGAAGAGAAGCAGCAAUGUCCAGCUCCACCCCAGUCCCUCCCUUGGCAAAGGGCUCUGGGCAGCACAGCCCAACACAUUCUGUAGGUGUGAAGGGGCACAGCCUGCUCUGAGAGCACCUCGUGGGCAGGAGGGAACAAUUCUGGGGAGAAAUGGGAGCUAAAUCAGUGAAUUUAUCUGACCAGAAGGUUUUUUUGUGAGAGAAACACAAUGUACAGAGUGGAGAGCUUGGGAAUUGGGAUGGGGCUUUGCCAGGCAGGGAAGGGAUGCCCAGAGAGAGGAGCGGAACCCGGAGCAGAGCUGUUCCUACAAGGCUGCUGCAGAUGAACCCAAGGGAAGGAGGCUCCUAGCUGGAAUAAAUAAUCUGGGCAUGGAGUCAAGAGCCCAUCAGGUGAAACCUUUGAAUGAAAUGCAGAUCACAGAAUCCCAGGAGGGUUUGGGUUGGAGGGGACAAUAAAAAUUAUCCAGUGCCACCCCUGCCAUGGCAGGGACACCUCCCACUGUCCCAGGGUCACCUUCCACUGUGCCAGGGACAUCUCCCACUGCCCCAGGGACACCUUCCACUGUCCAGCCCCGUGUCCAGCCUGGCCUUGGGCACUGCCAGGGAUCCAGGGGCAGCCCCAGCUGCUCUGGGCACCUGUGCCAGGGCCUGCCCACCAUCACAGGGAGGAAUUUAACCCAAAUCUCCCAUCUCAAUCUGCCUUCCUUCAGCCCAAAGAUGCUUCCCUUGGUCCUGUCCCUCCAUCCCUGGUGCGAAGUCCCUCAGCAGCCUGCUCUGAAGGAAUAUUUGUGAGAUAUCCUUGCAGAGCAGCUGCAGAGUCACAGGGAGAGUUUGAGUGCAAGAUUUCAGGCUGAGGAGCCGCU
This is a long non-coding RNA of Passer domesticus (house sparrow), 2322 nucleotides long. RefSeq lists it as uncharacterized. The transcript is spliced from 3 exons. The record is from RefSeq and is a predicted model, not a curated record. NCBI's taxonomy places the organism in Eukaryota, Metazoa, Chordata, Aves, Passeriformes, Passeridae.